RNAcentral lists this ribosomal RNA (359 nucleotides) under uncultured soil bacterium. RNAcentral's name for it is "bacterial SSU rRNA". It matches the Rfam family "Bacterial small subunit ribosomal RNA", at positions 26 to 373 of the family's 1533-position model. The record is from RNAcentral.
AGAGUGAACGCUGGCGGUAGGCCUAACACAUGCAAGUCGAACGGCAGCACGGUAAGAGCUUGCUCUUAUGGGUGGCGAGUGGCGGACGGGUGAGGAAUACAUCGGAAUCUACCUUUUGGUGGGGGAUAACGUAGGGAAACUUACGCUAAUACCGCAUACGCCCUUCGGGGGAAAGCCGGGACCAGCAAUGGCCUGGCGCUGAUAGAUGAGCCGAUGUCGGAUUAGCUAGUUGGUGAGGUAUGGCUCACCAAGGCGACGAUCCGUAAGCUGGUCUGAGGAGGAUGAUCAGCCACACUGGAACUGAGACCUACGGUCCAGACCUCCGUACGGGAGCAGCAGGUGGGAAUUGUAGGACAAGU